GAUGAACGCUGGCGGUCUGCUUAACACAUGCAAGUCGAACGGAAUCCUUCGGGAUUUAGUGGCGGACGGGUGAGUAACGCGUGAGAAUCUGCCUUCAGGUUCGGGACAACAGCUGGAAACGGCUGCUAAUACCGGAUGUGCCGAGAGGUGAAAGCUUUAGUGCCUGAAGAUGAGCUCGCGUCUGAUUAGCUAGUAGGAGUGGUAAUGGCACCCCUAGGCGACGAUCAGUAGCUGGUCUGAGAGGAUGAUCAGCAACACUGGGACUGAGACACGGCCCAGACUCCUCCGGGAGGCAGCAGUGGGGAAUUUUCCGCAAUGGGCGCAAGCCUGACGGAGCAAGACCGCGUGAGGGAAGAAGGUCUGUGGAUUGUAAACCUCUUUUGAUGGGGAAGAAGACAGUGACGGUACCCAUCGAAUCAGCCUCGGCUAACUCCGUGCCAGCAGCCCGCCGUAA
This 454-nucleotide ribosomal RNA is filed under the name uncultured bacterium. Its description in RNAcentral is "partial 16S ribosomal RNA". It matches the Rfam family "Bacterial small subunit ribosomal RNA", at positions 28 to 523 of the family's 1533-position model. The record is from RNAcentral.